UACGAAGGGAGCUAGCGUUGUUCGGAAUCACUGGGCGUAAAGCGCACGUAGGCGGACGUGUCAGUCAGGGGUGAAAUCCCGGGGCUCAACCUCGGAACUGCCUUUGAUACAGCACGUCUUGAGUCCGGAAGAGGGGGGUGGAAUUCCUAGUGUAGAGGUGAAAUUCGUAGAUAUUGGGAAGAACACCGGUGGCGAAGGCGGCGCACUGGUCCGGUACUGACGCUGAGGCGCGAAAGCGUGGGGAGCAAACAGG
This 253-nucleotide ribosomal RNA is filed under the name uncultured bacterium. RNAcentral describes it as "partial 16S ribosomal RNA". It matches the Rfam family "Bacterial small subunit ribosomal RNA", at positions 524 to 776 of the family's 1533-position model. The record is from RNAcentral.